Molecule: ribosomal RNA, 440 nt
Filed under: uncultured bacterium
Lineage: Bacteria
Description: partial 16S ribosomal RNA
Rfam family: Bacterial small subunit ribosomal RNA
Source: RNAcentral
CCUACGGGUGGCAGCAGUGGGGGAUAUUGCACAAUGGGGGGAACCCUGAUGCAGCGACGCCGCGUGGGUGAAGAAGCGCCUCGGCGCGUAAAGCCCUUUCAGCAGGGAAGAAAAUGACGGUACCUGAAGACGAAGCACCGGCUACCUACCGGCCAGCUGCCGCGGUCAUCCGUAGGGGGCAAGCGUUAUCCGGAUUUGCUGGGUGUAAAGGGGGCGGAGACGGCGAUGCAAGCCAGGAGUGAAAUCCCGGGGGCAAACCCCGGGACUGCUCUUGGAACUGCGUGGCUGGAGUGGAGGAGGGGAAGGCGGAAGUCCUGGUGUAGCGGUGAAAUGCGUAGAUAUCAGGAGGAACACCGGUGGCGAAGGCGGCCUGCUGGACUGCAACUGACGUUGAGGCCCGAAAGCGUGGGGAGCAAACAGGAUUAGAUACCCCAGUAGUC